UACAGAGGGGGCAAGCGUUAUUCGGAAUUAUUGGGCGUAAAGAGCGUGUAGGCGGCUUGUUAAGUCUUGCGUGAAAUCUCGGGGCUCAACCCCGAGCGGUCGUGAGAAACUGGCAGGCUAGAGUGCGGGAGAGGAGAGUGGAAUUCCAGGUGUAGCGGUGAAAUGCGUAGAUAUCUGGAGGAACACCGGUGGCGAAGGCGACAUCCUGGACCGGUAUUGACGCUGAGGCGCGAAAGCCAGGGGAGCAAACGGG
Molecule: ribosomal RNA, 253 nt
Filed under: uncultured bacterium
Lineage: Bacteria
Description: partial 16S ribosomal RNA
Rfam family: Bacterial small subunit ribosomal RNA
Source: RNAcentral